RNAcentral lists this ribosomal RNA (289 nucleotides) under Euhadra dixoni. Its description in RNAcentral is "partial 28S ribosomal RNA". It matches the Rfam family "Eukaryotic large subunit ribosomal RNA", at positions 25 to 307 of the family's 3401-position model. RNAcentral also lists the same sequence under 8 other names. The record is from RNAcentral. Lineage: Eukaryota; Metazoa; Mollusca; Gastropoda; Stylommatophora; Camaenidae.
CCGCUGAAUUUAAGCAUAUAACUAAGCGGAGGAAAAGAAACUAACAAGGAUUCCCUCAGUAACGGCGAGUGAAGCGGGAAUAGCCCAGCACCGAAUCCCUCAGUGUCAUGCUGACGGGAACUGUGGUGUGUGGGACGCCACCAGUCGCAUCAGAGGGCGCCGAAGUCCUCCUGAUCGGGGCUUCACCCAGAGCGGGUGUAAGGCCUUUGCGGGUGCCUCUCUGUGCGGCCGCGAGCGUCUCAGGAGUCGGGUUGUUUGGGAAUGCAGCCCAAAGCGGGUGGUAAACUCC